GCAUGGAGCCGACCUUGAAAUACCACCCUUUAAUGUUUGAUGUUCUAACGUGGACCCGUGAUCCGGGUUGCGGACAGUGUCUGGUGGGUAGUUUGACUGGGGCGGUCUCCUCCUAAAGAGUAACGGAGGAGCACGAAGGUUGGCUAAUCCUGGUCGGACAUCAGGAGGUUAGUGCAAUGGCAUAAGCCAGCUUGACUGCGAGCGUGACGGCGCGAGCAGGUGCGAAAGCAGGUCAUAGUGAUCCGGUGGUUCUGAAUGGAAGGGCCAUCGCUCAACGGAUAAAAGGUACUCCGGGGAUAACAGGCUGAUACCGCCCAAGAGUUCAUAUCGACGGCGGUGUUUGGCACCUCGAUGUCGGCUCAUCACAUCCUGGGGCUGAAGUAGGUCCCAAGGGUAUGGCUGUUCGCCAUUUAAAGUGGUACGCGAGCUGGGUUUAGAACGUCGUGAGACAGUUCGGUCCCUAUCUGCCGUGGGCGCUGGAGAACUGAGGGGGGCUGCUCCUAGUACGAGAGGACCGGAGUGGACGCAUCACUGGUGUUCGGGUUGUCAUGCCAAUGGCACUGCCCGGUAGCUAAAUGCGGAAGAGAUAAGUGCUGAAAGCAUCUAAGCACGAAACUUGCCCCGAGAUGAGUUCUCCCUGAGACUUUAGGUCUCCUGAAGGAACGUUGAAGACGACGACGUUGAUAGGCCGGGUGUGUAAGCGCAGCGAUGCGUUGAGCUAACCGGUACUAAUGAACCGUGAGGCUUAACCUUACA
Molecule: ribosomal RNA, 756 nt
Filed under: Salmonella enterica
Lineage: Bacteria; Pseudomonadati; Pseudomonadota; Gammaproteobacteria; Enterobacterales; Enterobacteriaceae
Description: partial 23S ribosomal RNA
Rfam family: Bacterial large subunit ribosomal RNA
Source: RNAcentral